RNAcentral lists this ribosomal RNA (470 nucleotides) under uncultured bacterium. RNAcentral describes it as "bacterial SSU rRNA". It matches the Rfam family "Bacterial small subunit ribosomal RNA", at positions 328 to 794 of the family's 1533-position model. The record is from RNAcentral.
CCCCCAGACUCCUACGGGAGGCAGCAGUGAGGAAUAUUGGUCAAUGGGCGGAAGCCUGAACCAGCCAAGUCGCGUGAGGGAAGAAGGCCCUGCGGGUCGCAGACCUCUUUGGACGGGGAGCAAGGCCGCCGACGUGUCGGCGGAAGGAGAGUACCCGUAGAACAAGCAUCGGCUAACUCCGUGCCAGCAGCCGCGGUAAUACGGGGGGUGCAAGCGUUGUCCGGAAUCAUUGGGCGUAAAGCGUUCGUAGGCGGUGUGUCAAGUCUGAUGUUAAAGCCCGGGGCUCAACUCCGGUUCGGCAUUGGAUACUGGCAAACUAGAAUGUGGUAGAGGUAAAGGGAAUUCCUGGUGUAGCGGUGAAAUGCGUAGAUAUCAGGAGGAACAUCGGUGGCGAAAGCGCUUUACUGGACCAUUAUUGACGCUGAGGAACGAAAGCCAGGGGAGCAAAUGGGAUUAGAUACCCCGGUACC